CAGUUGAUAGUUUAUUAAAAAUUUUAGUUUUGGAUAUUAAAGAUGCAUGUGUGUUUGACUGA
This 62-nucleotide transfer RNA is filed under the name Laodelphax striatellus (small brown planthopper). RNAcentral's name for it is "tRNA-Pro". Lineage: Eukaryota; Metazoa; Arthropoda; Insecta; Hemiptera; Delphacidae. The record is from RNAcentral.